UACGAAGGGGGCUAGCGUUGCUCGGAAUCACUGGGCGUAAAGGGUGCGUAGGCGGGUCUUUAAGUCAGGGGUGAAAUCCUGGAGCUCAACUCCAGAACUGCCUUUGAUACUGAGGAUCUUGAGUUCGGGAGAGGUGAGUGGAACUGCGGGUGUAGAGGUGAAAUUCGUAGAUAUUAGGAAGAACACCAGUGGCGAAGGCGGCUCACUGGCCCGGUACUGACGCUCAUGUGCGAAAGCGUGGGGAGCAAACAGG
Molecule: ribosomal RNA, 253 nt
Filed under: uncultured bacterium
Lineage: Bacteria
Description: partial 16S ribosomal RNA
Rfam family: Bacterial small subunit ribosomal RNA
Source: RNAcentral